AGAAAUGGCCAGUGCAAACAACAUGACUAAUCGAAUCUUUACCUUUUUCCAAGUUCAUGUUGAUUUCUUCAUUUUUAGCAUUAGGAACAUCCUUCUUAUGGAGCUUAACACUUGCUGCAGUUUUUCCCGUCUCAAGCUUCUUCACCACGCGCCCGUGGAUAUCUUGAGAAGGUUGAACAAUGCGUCUUCUCCUUAGUUGCUUUGUUUUCUUGUUCCUUUCUUUAUUGAUGGGCACUUUUUCUUUUGAUCCUGCAGCUUGAUGCUCAUCCAAGAGUUGGCUUUCUUUUGAGCAACCAGGGUUAGCACAUGGUGAUAUAUUAUCUAGAUGUGCACGUGUGCAAGAAUGAGGUUCAUAUGAAUUUAGGUUUGCAACUACAACCUCAUGAGCAAUAUCAAGCAUGAUAUGUCUAUCCAAAAGAUUAUCAUGAUAAUAAGACAAUAUAUCAUAUUUUUCAGUAA
This 459-nucleotide long non-coding RNA is filed under the name Zea mays. Its description in RNAcentral is "long non-coding RNA (ZMAY_LNC002026)". Lineage: Eukaryota; Viridiplantae; Streptophyta; Magnoliopsida; Poales; Poaceae. The record is from RNAcentral.